RNAcentral lists this ribosomal RNA (274 nucleotides) under uncultured bacterium. RNAcentral describes it as "partial 16S ribosomal RNA". It matches the Rfam family "Bacterial small subunit ribosomal RNA", at positions 523 to 796 of the family's 1533-position model. The record is from RNAcentral.
AUACGAAAGGUGCAAGCGUUGUUCGGAUUUACUGGGCGUAAAGAGAGUGUAGGUUGUUUAUUAAGUCGGAUGUGAAAUCCCGGGGCUCAACCUCGGAACUGCAUUCGAUACUGAUAGGCUAGAGUUUGGGAGGGGUAAGCGGAAUUCCGUGUGUAGCAGUGAAAUGCGUAGACAUACGGAGGAACACCUGAGGCGAAGGCGGCUUACUGGACCAAUACUGACACUGAGACUCGAAAGCGUGGGUAGCAAACAGGAUUAGAUACCCUAGUAGUCC